RNAcentral lists this long non-coding RNA (704 nucleotides) under Rattus norvegicus (Norway rat). RNAcentral's name for it is "long non-coding RNA NONRATT011273". The record is from RNAcentral. Lineage: Eukaryota; Metazoa; Chordata; Mammalia; Rodentia; Muridae.
CAAACUUCGGGUGUUGUGUGAGUCAUGGAUGAUGACUACAAGUUUUCGAGUCUGAGGUUCACAUCAUAAACAAAAAGAGAAGACUGAUGGUCUGCUUUCUCCUUCCUCCUGACCCAUACGUCUGCCUUAACCCCACAGGUCCUUACUUUGCUUAUCAACGCAGCAUACAAGCCCAGCCGUGUCCUCCGAGAGCUCCAGCUGGACAAAGACUCUGUGUGGCAUGGGUGUGGAGAAGUCCUGAAGGCCAAAUAUAAAGGGAAGAGCUACCGAGCUACUGUUGAGAUAGUGAGAACAGCGGACCGAGUGACGGAAUUCUGCCGGCAAACAUGUAUCAAACUGGAAUGCUGUCCCAACCUCUUUGGUCCACGCAUGGUUCUGGACACAUGCUCUGAGAACUGCUCUGUCCUGACGAAGACCAAAUACACACACUAUUAUGGAAAGAAGAAAAAUAAAAGAAUUGGGAGACCACCCGGUGGGCAUAGUAAUUUAUCUUGUGCCCUGAAAAAAACCAGUAAGAGGAGAAAAAGGCGGAAAAAUAUUUUUGUUCAUAAGAAGAAACGCUCUUCUGCAUCUGUUGACAAUACCCCAGUGGGCUCACCCCAGGGAAGCGGGGGUGAGGAUGAGGAUGAUGCCGAUGACGGAGAUGAUGAUUCGCUCACUGAGGGCAGUACAUCUGAGCAACAGGACGAGUUACAUGAAGAGUC